GCGGUAAUACGGAGGGUGCAAGCGUUAAUCGGAAUUACUGGGCGUAAAGCGCACGCAGGCGGUCUGUCAAGUCGGAUGUGAAAUCCCCGGGCUCAACCUGGGAACUGCAUCCGAAACUGGCAGGCUAGAGUCUUGUAGAGGGGGGUAGAAUUCCAGGUGUAGCGGUGAAAUGCGUAGAGAUCUGGAGGAAUACCGGUGGCGAAGGCGGCCCCCUGGACAAAGACUGACGCUCAGGUGCGAAAGCGUGGGGAGCAAACAGGAUUA
RNAcentral lists this ribosomal RNA (264 nucleotides) under Klebsiella terrigena. RNAcentral's name for it is "Raoultella terrigena partial 16S ribosomal RNA". It matches the Rfam family "Bacterial small subunit ribosomal RNA", at positions 517 to 780 of the family's 1533-position model. Lineage: Bacteria; Pseudomonadati; Pseudomonadota; Gammaproteobacteria; Enterobacterales; Enterobacteriaceae. The record is from RNAcentral.